RNAcentral lists this ribosomal RNA (492 nucleotides) under uncultured bacterium. Its description in RNAcentral is "partial 16S ribosomal RNA". It matches the Rfam family "Bacterial small subunit ribosomal RNA", at positions 29 to 507 of the family's 1533-position model. The record is from RNAcentral.
AGUGAACGCUGGCGGUAGGCCUAACACAUGCAAGUCGAACGGCAGCACAGUAAGAGCUUGCUCUUACGGGUGGCGAGUGGCGGACGGGUGAGGAAUACAUCGGAAUCUACUUUUUCGUGGGGGAUAACGUAGGAAAACUUACGCUAAUACCGCAUACGACCUACGGGUGAAAGCAGGGGAUCUUCGGACCUUGCGCGAUUGAAUGAGCCGAUGUCGGAUUAGCUAGUUGGCGGGGUAAAGGCCCACCAAGGCGACGAUCCGUAGCUGGUCUGAGAGGAUGAUCAGCCACACUGGAACUGAGACACGGUCCAGACUCCUACGGGAGGCAGCAGUGGGGAAUAUUGGACAAUGGGCGCAAGCCUGAUCCAGCCAUACCGCGUGGGUGAAGAAGGCCUUCGGGUUGUAAAGCCCUUUUGUUGGGAAAGAAAAGCAGUAGGUUAAUACCCCGCUGUUCUGACGGUACCCAAAGAAUAAGCACCGGCUAACUUCGUG